AAACUACAAAUAGAAUUGUACGGGGCCCGGCACAAGCGGUGGAGCAUGUGGUUUAAUUCGAAGCAACGCGAAGAACCUUACCAGGUCUUGACAUCCCCUGACAACCCGAGAGAUCGGGCGGUUCCCCCUUCGGGGGACAGGGUGACAGGUGGUGCAUGGUUGUCGUCAGCUCGUGUCGUGAGAUGUUGGGUUAAGUCCCGCAACGAGCGCAACCCUCGACCUUAGUUGCCAGCAUUCAGUUGGGCACUCUAAGGUGACUGCCGGCUAAAAGUCGGAGAAGGUGGGGAUGACGUCAAAUCAUCAUGCCCCUUAUGACCUGGGCUACACACGUGCUACAAUGGGCGGUACAAAGGGUCGCGAACCCGCGAGGGGGAGCCAAUCCCAAAAAGCCGCUCUCAGUUCGGAUUGCAGGCUGCAACUCGCCUGCAUGAAGCCGGAAUCGCUAGUAAUCGCGGAUCAGCAUGCCCGCGGUCCGAAUACGUUCCGGCCUU
Molecule: ribosomal RNA, 491 nt
Filed under: uncultured Anoxybacillus sp.
Lineage: Bacteria; Bacillati; Bacillota; Bacilli; Caryophanales; Anoxybacillaceae
Description: bacterial SSU rRNA
Rfam family: Bacterial small subunit ribosomal RNA
Source: RNAcentral